Long non-coding RNA from Zea mays, 603 nucleotides. RefSeq lists it as uncharacterized. The transcript has 3 exons. Lineage: Eukaryota; Viridiplantae; Streptophyta; Magnoliopsida; Poales; Poaceae. The record is from RefSeq and is a predicted model, not a curated record.
AAGCACGGCCGCCAGUCGGGACGCCACGGACGCCGGAAGCGGGCGCAUGGUGUAAGCUGUAAACGGCAGGCCGCAGACGGCCCGGGCCGUACGAUGCAGUUGUGUUGAGCUAAGCUAAGGUAGCGUUUGGUUGGAGAGUACUGUGGUAUGGAGUCGUUCCGUUCCAGGGUGUUUGGUUUCAUUCUAGACAUAAUCGAGUGGCUCUAAAAUAAGAAUAUUCCUCCAAUAUCAAGGAUCCCUAGCCUCCAAAAAAACACUCAAACCCGUACGCUCGGGAGCACAACGCGUCCAUUCCUCUCCCAGGUCAUCCGGUUGCAAGUAUUCAGGAGACAAAAAAGACUUUAGAGCUUAAGGAUGAAAGAAACAAGGGUGAUGAUGAAUUCAUAAACAAGCCUCUUCCCUACUAUGGCAACCUUGCUACAAUUUUUGGCAAUAGUGUGAUGGUUGUAUGGAUGCGUCAUGUGUAAGAUUAUAUAGUAAUUAUUAUACAUUUUAUGAUCUAUAUUUAUAUUUGUCAUUUUAAGAUAUGACUAAUGGUUGUAUGAAUGUGUCAUAUCUUAAAAUACAGAUUGACUAAUGGAGAAAAUUAUCUAUUUGCACUCA